This 91-nucleotide microRNA precursor is filed under the name Choloepus hoffmanni (Hoffmann's two-fingered sloth). Its description in RNAcentral is "miRNA (ENSCHOG00000014430.1)". The record is from RNAcentral. Lineage: Eukaryota; Metazoa; Chordata; Mammalia; Pilosa; Megalonychidae.
GUUAGAAAUGAAAAUCUCAGGCCUCACCCCAGACUUACUGAAUCAGAAACUCUAGGAGUGGAGUCCAGGGAUCUGUAUUUUAAUAACCCCU